This 96-nucleotide signal recognition particle RNA is filed under the name Legionella spiritensis. RNAcentral describes it as "Bacterial small signal recognition particle RNA". It matches the Rfam family "Bacterial small signal recognition particle RNA". From Rfam's summary of the family: The signal recognition particle (SRP) is a universally conserved ribonucleoprotein involved in the co-translational targeting of proteins to membranes. Archaeal SRP consists of a 7S RNA and homologues of the eukaryotic SRP19 and SRP54 proteins. The record is from Rfam by way of RNAcentral. Lineage: Bacteria; Pseudomonadati; Pseudomonadota; Gammaproteobacteria; Legionellales; Legionellaceae.
UAUUGGUCUCCUCGCGACGACAGAUUGUGAACCCCGUCAGGCCCGGAAGGGAGCAGCGGUAACAGUCGAUGCGGGCGCGGGUCUCGGCUCUUAGGG